RNAcentral lists this long non-coding RNA (2969 nucleotides) under Marmota monax (woodchuck). Lineage: Eukaryota; Metazoa; Chordata; Mammalia; Rodentia; Sciuridae. The record is from RNAcentral.
CAUUGAAAUGACUAAUGGAAGAGACCUCCUGCCAGGGAACUUUCACAGCUCGCACGUGGCACUGUUGCUACCAGUCAGCAGGAACUUACCUUGGGCGUUUACAUACCAGAUGUCACCCCAAAGGCCCCUGACCAGGGGAUUUCUGGGGAUUAAUAAGAAUGCUGCUCUGAGCCUUAGAACGUGCACUGUAGGAGUGCCCAUCCUGUGUGUGGGGCAUCAUCUAGCCCCCCACUCCUCCCUGCAAGCCGAGGAAGAUGUCCAGAUGCAGGCAUAGAUUCACUGGUGGCAGGGAGCAGCCUGGUAACAAUAGCUGUGCUACCCGCCCACUACUGGAGGGGUCGGGGAGGGGGUACCUAGAUGAAGAAUCAGGGCCCCUGAGGGUCAGUAGCUGGAUGUCCAGGAAGGCAGCAAACAAACUCUUGGAGAAUUUCUGAUCUUGGGGGGUGCAUUCUGCAGCACAGGUGGGGAGCAGGUGCUCUGUGCGCUCAGAAGAGGGUGCCUAACUCAGGGGUGCAGGGAGGUCUUCCUGGAGCUCAGCAUGACCAAGCAAAGUCUUUAACAUUUUCUUAAAAUAUGUCCCCAGCACCCCAGUUAAAAAGGCAACACAGCGCCACACAGUGGUGCACACCUGUAGUCCCAGCUACUCAGGAGGCUGAGGCAGGAGGACCCUAAGUUCCAGCUCAGCCUGGGCAACGCAGCAAGAUCGUGUCUCAAGAUAAAAAGGACCGGAAUGUAGCUCAAAGGUAGAGGGCCCCUGUGUUCAAUCCCUGGUCCACCCAUGUGCGUGUGCGUGCACACACGUACGCAUAAAGGGGCAAUACAUCUCAUUGCAAAUAAUUUAAACUUUACAGCAAAUAUAUGUUCUUUUGAAGUUCAGGGAGUAAGUGGAACUAGGAAAUUGAUUAGUGGGAUUUCUCUUGUGCUCAUGAAUGUACUACUACUCCUCUGCAUUACUUCUCAAACAUAUUCGGUUAGAGAAACGUUUUAAAAUUGGCUACCCCUUAUCUCUCAGUAUUGUUACUCGAAUUCAUGGACACAAUUUGGAAAUGCUGCCCCCUGGGGAAAUACAUGUCCUACUAAAAACUAGAGGGAAUAAUGUAAUCUCAGGUUGCAAUGAUUAAAAGAUGAUUUGGAAAGUGGGUGCCAAGGAUACUUCCCUUCCACCAGGGACAACCCUUUGUCAUGUCCUUAGUGAAGUGACGCAGUGUUUUGGAUGUGAUGGGCUACUAGGCCAGGAGAGCUUUGGGCACUGCAGGGAGGGUCUCCACGCUGCCUCCCCACCCCAGUCACCUCUUUGGACCCCUCUGGCCCCUUGCCCUCCCAGUCUCUCCCUCGACCCCCUGUAGGGCUCCUCUGGGUUCCAGGAAGAGGCUUCAGUUAUCUGCCCCUGUGGCUGGACCUCAUUAGUAGCCUGCCCUGCCUACUAGGACCAGCCCCAGGACUGGUUCUCUUGGAAUUUGGAUGCAUCUACUGUAGGCCAGGUUCCUGCAACAAUUGAGCAGACCCUCUGGAGCUCCCCUGCUGAGCCCCCCACCCCCCACCUCCAGUGCAGGCCUACAUCUGCCCAGACCUACCCUGCCCCUCCCCACCCCCACCAGAAGACCACUGCCUUCAGAGAUGAGGCCCGACCUAGGGGAGGCUAGAGUUGGCUACACCUUUUUGGACAUUGAUUUGGACAGUUCAUCAGCCCCCAAAAGGGCCAGUCUCCCAGCCUGGUUAGUCCCUGACCUUCUUCCAGGACCUGCCCCUGUCCGGCCAGUGGGCUGCUGGGGCUCCCUGUACCUGCAGUCAAAGAGUGACCUUCCUUUUCUCCCAAGCUCCAGUUUCUCCCAGAGCGUCCUAGACCCACAGAUGUACAUUCAGACCACAGACCAAGCAAGACAGACAAAGCAGGCACCAACCCAGCUCCUGAAGGCCACCUAGAAGGAGCGUUUGCAUUCUUUUCAAUGAGUAUCCAGCACUGGUACCAAGGAAGAGCAGACUCCGCCCUGCAUCCUGGUCGUGCACUGUGAGGGGGUUGUCCUAACUCCCCUUCCCACGGGGAAGGCUGAGCUCAGAGAGGCCUGGCUCACACAGUGAAGAGCAGCAAAGCCGGGCCAGAACAACCAUCCAGCUUUGGUCCCUCUGUCACAUGCUGUCCCGGGGACCCAGGGCCCUCUGGACUACCAAGAUUGAUGCUCUUGGCCCCUAGAGCAGCCCAAAGCCACAGAGUGAACGUGGCUCCCGCGGAGUUCGGCCCCUGCGUCAGGCCUCUGGUUCCUCCUUUACCCUCCUCGUCCUUCAGUUCCUAACACAGAAGGUUGGGAAGCAGCUGUUCUCGGGCCUCCAGGUGCUUUUGACUUCUCUGUAACUGUCCACUGGACUCCAGCUCACCUAGCUCCACCCACGAACUUGCCCCUUGACAGUUAAGCCACAUGCGAAGUGCUCUUUAUGGCAGAAUUGUUGUGGAGAUACCUAAAGAGAGAUGUGAGGUGUACCUUUGUUCCUAAUAAACCGUUAAAGAAAAAAAAAGUUAUUUGACACCUGUUAAAAACAGCAAGAAGGACUUUGUUCAGGACCGUUGCUCGAGGCCAAGAUUAUUGCAACAGGUAAGAGGUUAAACUCAACCCGAACAUAACCGGAAUGAGCAGGAUCCCACAGCCAGUGGUCAAGGUGGGGGGGCGGAUGGAAAAUUACCAAGAGGAAAGUGCUUAGGUAUCAGGUGUGGAGGAAGAGGGCCUUGACUGGGUCUUGUGGCUGGGAAUGCUCAAAAAAUGGGCUGAGCCUGCUGGAUUCAUUGCCAAAACUGGGCUCAUCAGACCAAGGGUGAGGCCUAGUGAAGAAGAAGGUCAAAGGAGACUGACUCAAGUUGGUCAGGAAGGAAGUCUUUGCCAGCACUCAUGAAAUCUGUGAGAGUCGGGACCUGAACUCAGAAUCCAGAGCAACAGCAGGUGGUAGUGGGCCAGCCGUGGACACUGCAGGGGCUCGGG